Molecule: ribosomal RNA, 414 nt
Filed under: uncultured microorganism
Description: bacterial SSU rRNA
Rfam family: Archaeal small subunit ribosomal RNA
Source: RNAcentral
CAGCCGCCGCGGUAAUACCGGCGGCCCGAGUGGCGGUCACUAUUAUUGGGCUUAAAGCGUCCGUAGCCGGGGUGGGAAGUCCUCCGGGAAAUCUGGCCGCUUAACGGUCAGAAUGCCGGAGGAUACUCCCAGCCUAGGGGGCGGGGGAGGCCGAGGGGAUUCCCGGAGUAGGGGGGAAAUCCUAUAAUCCCGGGAGGACCACCUGUGGCGAAGGCGCUCGGCUGGACCGCGUCCGACGGUGAGGGACGAAGGCCAGGGGAGCAAACCGGAUUAGAUACCCGGGUAGUCCUGGCGGUAAACGAUGCGGACUUUGUGUCGGACAAGCUAUGAGCUUGUCCGGUGCCGGAGGGAAACCGUUAAGUCCGCCGCCUGGGGAGUACGGCCGCAAGGCUGAAACUUAAAGGAAUUGGCGGG